RNAcentral lists this ribosomal RNA (274 nucleotides) under uncultured bacterium. Its description in RNAcentral is "partial 16S ribosomal RNA". It matches the Rfam family "Bacterial small subunit ribosomal RNA", at positions 523 to 796 of the family's 1533-position model. The record is from RNAcentral.
AUACGAAAGGUGCAAGCGUUGUUCGGAUUUACUGGGCGUAAAGAGAGUGUAGGUGGUUUAUUAAGUCGGAUGUGAAAUCCCGGGGCUCAACCUCGGAACUGCAUUCGAUACUGAUAGGCUAGAGUUUGGGAGGGGUAAGCGGAAUUCCGUGUGUAGCAGUGAAAUGCGUAGAUAUACGGAGGAACACCUGAGGCGAAGGCGGCUUACUGGACCGAUACUGACACUGAGACUCGAAAGCGUGGGUAGCAAACAGGAUUAGAAACCCCAGUAGUCC